RNAcentral lists this ribosomal RNA (644 nucleotides) under Bacillus amyloliquefaciens. RNAcentral's name for it is "bacterial SSU rRNA". It matches the Rfam family "Bacterial small subunit ribosomal RNA", at positions 322 to 957 of the family's 1533-position model. The record is from RNAcentral. Lineage: Bacteria; Bacillati; Bacillota; Bacilli; Caryophanales; Bacillaceae.
AGACACGGCCCAGACUCCUACGGGAGGCAGCAGUAGGGAAUCUUCCGCAAUGGACGAAAGUCUGACGGAGCAACGCCGCGUGAGUGAUGAAGGUUUUCGGAUCGUAAAGCUCUGUUGUUAGGGAAGAACAAGUGCCGUUCAAAUAGGGCGGCACCUUGACGGUACCUAACCAGAAAGCCACGGCUAACUACGUGCCAGCAGCCGCGGUAAUACGUAGGUGGCAAGCGUUGUCCGGAAUUAUUGGGCGUAAAGGGCUCGCAGGCGGUUUCUUAAGUCUGAUGUGAAAGCCCCCGGCUCAACCGGGGAGGGUCAUUGGAAACUGGGGAACUUGAGUGCAGAAGAGGAGAGUGGAAUUCCACGUGUAGCGGUGAAAUGCGUAGAGAUGUGGAGGAACACCAGUGGCGAAGCGACUCUCUGGUCUGUAACUGACGCUGAGGAGCGAAAGCGUGGGGAGCGAACAGGAUUAGAUACCCUGGUAGUCCACGCCGUAAACGAUGAGUGCUAAGUGUUAGGGGGUUUCCGCCCCUUAGUGCUGCAGCUAACGCAUUAAGCACUCCGCCUGGGGAGUACGGUCGCAAGACUGAAACUCAAAGGAAUUGACGGGGGCCCGCACAAGCGGUGGAGCAUGUGGUUUAAUUCGAAGC